This 516-nucleotide ribosomal RNA is filed under the name uncultured diatom. Its description in RNAcentral is "SSU rRNA". It matches the Rfam family "Eukaryotic small subunit ribosomal RNA", at positions 451 to 966 of the family's 1831-position model. Lineage: Eukaryota; Bacillariophyta. The record is from RNAcentral.
CUGACACAGGGAGGUAGUGACAAUAAAUAACAAUGACUGGCAUUUUUAUGUCGGUCACUUGGAAUGAGAACAAUUUAAACCCAUUAACGAGGACCAAUUGGAGGGCAAGUCUGGUGCCAGCAGCCGCGGUAAUUCCAGCUCCAAUAGCGUACAUUAAAGUUGUUGCAGUUAAAAAGCUCGUAGUUGGAUUUCUGGUGUCGUGUUGUAUCCGUACGAUUAAGUUCGUCUCGAGUUACAUUCACGUCGCCAUCUUUUAACAGAGCUUGCCUGGCAUUAGGUUGUUGGGCAAGUUAUGUUAAUCGUUUACUGUGAAGAAAUUAGAGUGUUCAAAGCAGGCUUAUGCCGUUGAAUACGUUAGCAUGGAAUAAUGAGAUAGGACCUUGAUACUAUUUUGUUGGUUUGCGCAUUAAGGUAAUGAUUAAUAGGGUCAGUUGGGGGUAUUCGUAUUUCGUUGUCAGAGGUGAAAUUCUUGGAUUUACGAAAGACGAACGACUGCGAAAGCAUUUACCAAGGAUG